GACGAACGCUGGCGGCGUGCUUAACACAUGCAAGUCGAGCGGUAAGGCCCUUUCGGGGGUACACGAGCGGCGAACGGGUGAGUAACACGUGGGUGACCUGCCCUCAGCUCUGGGAUAAGCCCGGGAAACUGGGUCUAAUACCGGAUAUGACUCCAUGACGCAUGUUGUGGGGUGGAAAGCCUUGUGCGGCUGAGGAUGGGGCCCGCGGCCUAUCAGCUUGUUGGUGGGGGUGAUGGCCUACCAAGGCGACGACGGGUAGCCGGCCUGAGAGGGCGACCGGCCACACUGGGACUGAGAUACGGCCCAGACUCCUACGGGAGGCAGCAGUGGGGAAUCUUGCGCAAUGGGCGAAAGCCUGACGCAGCGACGCCGCGUGA
RNAcentral lists this ribosomal RNA (377 nucleotides) under uncultured bacterium. RNAcentral describes it as "bacterial SSU rRNA". It matches the Rfam family "Bacterial small subunit ribosomal RNA", at positions 28 to 404 of the family's 1533-position model. The record is from RNAcentral.